This is a non-coding RNA of Manis javanica (Malayan pangolin), 1327 nucleotides long. The record is from RefSeq and is a predicted model, not a curated record. Lineage: Eukaryota; Metazoa; Chordata; Mammalia; Pholidota; Manidae.
CUCUUUUUGACAGGCUUCCAGUGGAAGAUGGGACUGCAGAUGAAAAGGGAAAUGAACUUGAGGCUGAAGAGGACCUUCAUGGAGACACCCAGGGACCUUCAAAACUCACGACCUUCCUGCUCAAGGCAUAAAGCCCACUUCCCUCUGGUCUCUGCAGGUUGCGAACCUGUGCCUCCUCGAAGACCAAGGAACCACUCUAGCAACAGGUGAAGACAGAAAAAAGGACGGUACCAGCCCAGCUCUCUCUCCCAUGCCACCCUGAAUUCAAACUCUAUUCAUCAGCUUCCUUGACUGGCCUCCAUCCACUGCUCCAGGGACUGACCCAAGGUAUCUUCAGGAUCCUAUAGAGGAGGCUUUGGAAAGCUUACCAGUUUCCUAACUACUCUUCAAGGAUUACAUCUCUCAGGAAGAGCUCACCUCCUGUUGAAGCUCCUGGCCCAGGCUUCUGCAGUGCCAUGCUCCGUGUAUUUGACAAGCUGAGUUGGACACUCCAUGUGGUAGAGUGUCAGUUUGUCAAAUACCCCAAGUGUGGCACAUGCUUAACAUCGUAGGCCAGGACAGUUGGGAUACAACAAUAGACUGCCAGCUGGACACAAGAAUGCUCAGCAAAGCCCUUACAAGUUAUUUUCAGUCACUUGGAAGGAUCUGAAGCACUGUAUCUGAGGGUGCCAGGGGAAAAAUGAGGCAGCUCUGGGAACUACAGCCUUGGGCUGUGUCUAUAUAUAGUAUGGGAACCUGAGGGGGCACAGCAGUCUUGAGAAGGUAUACAGGGAACAGUGAUGGAAGUGCUCCUUGAUACAUUAUUUUCUUUCUUCAUGUUCCCCUAUUAGAGUGUCCCAGCAAGGACACUAGAGUUCUCAUACAAGUAUCAUGGUGGGGCUUAGAAACACCUUCUCUGACAUUCAGCCUUGGCUUUCAAACACACUGAACUUACCUGUCUCUCUCCUUUUCUGCAUGCCUUUUCUUCUUCUGGGAACCAUCUUCUCCAUUUCUCUCCACUUGCCCCAUUCUUUCUCAUUCUUCCUGACUCAGCUAAAGUCUCCCCAGGGAGUUUUAAAAGUCAACCUGUACUCUUUCCUUUUUUUAUUCUCAAAGCUCUCCUUGCUUGGGUCCUUGUAUUUUCCCUUUUGUCGUGGCUCAAUGGCACUUUUUGAAUUGUUGGUGAACUUUUCCAGGGGAUAUUUUUGAAUCCCCCACUAGACUGUGAGCUUCUAGAUGACAAGACUGUGUCCUUGAUUAUUGUUUCCCCAUUCCAUUCCUACUUUAGCCCUUAUCUCAAUACUCUGGUUGUAGAAAUUAUUCAAUAAAUAUUUACUGAUUGAUUGAC